RNAcentral lists this long non-coding RNA (907 nucleotides) under Rattus norvegicus (Norway rat). RNAcentral describes it as "long non-coding RNA NONRATT023287". The record is from RNAcentral. Lineage: Eukaryota; Metazoa; Chordata; Mammalia; Rodentia; Muridae.
UCCCAAGCCGAUCCUCUUUCCCAGGCUUUUUGUCUUGUGACCUGACCUUUGCUGCUAUUUUUCCUCAACCAAAAGAACAAAGCCAUCUCGACUGCUGGUGGGAGAGAGCCCCACAGAGAUAGAUAGAGAGGCUGCUGAGCAGUGCCUGGUACCCCAGGCUAAUCUGAAUGUGUCACUGUGUCUGUGUAAACAAAGUUAGCAUGAACGCUGCUUCAUCAGUAAACUAGAUCUCAGGAAUUCGGGAAGGGUAAGGGAUUUCAAUGCCUUGGCUAAAAAAUGUGACUCUUAAUAACGUAAUUGGUUUUUUGUUGUUGUUGUUGUUGUUGCUGUUUUUGGGUUUUUUUGUUUUUUUGUUUUUUGGUUUUUUUUUUCCGUAAUUUGUAUUUUUUUUUAUCUUUCUCAGCACGCUCAUGCGCACUCAUCUGGCUACUUCAUAACUCAAGACUCUGCGUUUGGGAAUCUUAUUCUCCCCGUUUUGCCUCGCCUUGACCCCGAAUGAAGAAAGUGUGAUAAAAGGACCUUGUAAUAUCAAAUGUCAAAGUUCUCACUCAGCUCUAUACAAACUCUGACUUUCAGGACUUUGGAGAACCUAGCUUUUGUUUCUUUAAAGAAAGGAAUAAGUGAGAGUGGGAAGAGAAGAGGAGCUGGGACGCUGAGGCCUUGGGAAGUGGAAGCAGCAGCAGUGGAGGAGGACCUGGCUGUGCUGGCCAAGACUGACUUCUUUGUAUUGCCAUCGGACUUUCCCUCCGACUCAGAGUCGCUUGGUCUCUUGUGAAAUCUGCAUCACCUCCAACAACUGGGACUGGAUAUCAUGUGGGAAGCCCUGGGUUUGCCCCCAUCACCACACAGACAAGCUCUGACAGCACACGCCUGUGACCUCAGCACUAGAGGAAUAGAGGCAGAAGAA